UCCCAUUUCUUGGUCUGCACGGUUUGUG
RNAcentral lists this small RNA (28 nucleotides) under Bombyx mori (domestic silkworm). RNAcentral describes it as "ovarian small RNA-27213". Lineage: Eukaryota; Metazoa; Arthropoda; Insecta; Lepidoptera; Bombycidae. The record is from RNAcentral.